UGCAACAGCAGAACGACCAGCGCACUUGUGAAACAGAUCGGGGCGCCCCGCGCGCCUCAAUGCCGGGACGUGCCCGUAACGGGCGCGAUCCCGGCACAACAACAAACCCCGGCACGGGCUGUGCUAAGGAAAAUUGACGAAGAUAGAGUCCCCUGCCGCCCCAUUCUGCGGGAGCGCGCUCGGGACAAGGCUUCUUUCACAAAACACGACUCUCAGCAACGGAUAUCUCGGCUCUCGCAUCGAUGAAGAACGUAGCAAAAUGCGAUACUUGGUGUGAAUUGCAGAAUCUCGUGAACCAUCGAGUCUUUGAACGCAAGUUGCGCUCGAAGCCAUUAGGCUGAAGGCACGUCUGCCUGGGCGUCUCGCAAUGCAUCGCCCCCAACCCUGCGCGCAAAGGCUCGCGGUCGGGGGCGGACGAUGCCCUCCUGUGCACAAAGGCUCGUAGAUAGCCCAAAAGCGGAAUUCCCGACAGGGGAUCGUCCUGGCACGUGGUGGUCGAACCACCUCGACGAGUUUCUUCACUGGCGCACCCAUUGACGGGCGGAGCUACGACCCUUGCGUGCCGCCUUUUCGAUGGCGCAUCGACGGUGACCCCAG
Molecule: unclassified non-coding RNA, 597 nt
Filed under: Hydrangea platyarguta
Lineage: Eukaryota; Viridiplantae; Streptophyta; Magnoliopsida; Cornales; Hydrangeaceae
Description: sequence contains ITS1, 5.8S rRNA gene, ITS2
Rfam family: 5.8S ribosomal RNA (bases 208-363)
Source: RNAcentral